AGAACAAAAACAGAACUAAAGAGAGGUGGGCUUGAAUUACAAAAAUAUGAUUUGGUUGCCAUAAAUUCACUCUAUAAAAGAUCCUCUUGCCAAUGAUUAAGGCAUAGAAAAAAGUGUAAAAAAAGGGAACAAACGGCUGAAAACAAACAUUCCUAAAGGAUUCUUAAGAAACUUUGAGUUUUUCUUUGGUUUUGGGGUUCUUCUUGGCUGGGUUUUAGAAGUUGGAACAGACUCUUGGGUUUGUUCAUUGCUGGUGUUGUUAAACUGAGCUAGAACUGCAGAUUUCCUUGCUUCUUUAGGCUGUUUUUCCCUUUUGCUAGUUUGCAGAUCUGACCAUAAUUGGUCAUGUCUGUAAACAUGGAGGCCCAAAAAAUAACGUCCAGAAGCAUCAUUGGAGAUUCAAAUUGCCUCAUAUAGGAUAUAUAUUUACUAGGCUCUGAUUAGGAAUCAUUUAUUUUUAUUUAAUAAUACAUUGUAAUGUUGUUAUAACUAUUUUUCCAUCACUUGAUAUACAGAUUAUGAGUUCUAUAUAGGAUUACUAAUUGUAUGAAACAUGAUGUAGUUAUUUUUCUUGGUUCAA
Nicotiana tabacum (common tobacco) is the source of this 580-nucleotide long non-coding RNA. RefSeq lists it as uncharacterized. NCBI's taxonomy places the organism in Eukaryota, Viridiplantae, Streptophyta, Magnoliopsida, Solanales, Solanaceae. The record is from RefSeq and is a predicted model, not a curated record.